RNAcentral lists this ribosomal RNA (229 nucleotides) under uncultured bacterium. RNAcentral's name for it is "partial 16S ribosomal RNA". It matches the Rfam family "Bacterial small subunit ribosomal RNA", at positions 568 to 796 of the family's 1533-position model. The record is from RNAcentral.
CGUGUAGGCGGACUCGCAAGUCGGUUGUGAAAUCCCUGGGCCCAACCUAGGAACUGCAUCCGAAACUGCUUGUCUUGAGUAAUGGAGAGGGUGGCGGAAUUCCCGGUGUAGAGGUGAAAUUCGUAGAUAUCGGGAGGAACAUCAGUGGCGAAGGCGGCCACCUGGACAUUUACUGACGCUGAGACGCGAAAGCGUGGGGAGCAAACAGGAUUAGAUACCCUGGUAGUCC